This 983-nucleotide ribosomal RNA is filed under the name uncultured Stenotrophomonas sp. RNAcentral's name for it is "bacterial SSU rRNA". It matches the Rfam family "Bacterial small subunit ribosomal RNA", at positions 49 to 1028 of the family's 1533-position model. The record is from RNAcentral. Lineage: Bacteria; Pseudomonadati; Pseudomonadota; Gammaproteobacteria; Lysobacterales; Lysobacteraceae.
CUACCAUGCAGUCGACGGCAGCACAGAGGAGCUUGCUCCUUGGGUGGCGAGUGGCGGACGGGUGAGGAAUACAUCGGAAUCUACUUUUUCGUGGGGGAUAACGUAGGGAAACUUACGCUAAUACCGCACACGACCUACGGGUGAAAGCAGGGGACCUUCGGGCCUUGCGCGAUUGAAUGAGCCGAUGUCGGAUUAUCUAGUUGGCGGGGUAAAGGCCCACCAAGGCGACUAUCCGUAGCUGGUCUGAGAGGAUGAUCACCCACACUGGAACUGAGACACGGUCCAGACUCCUACGGGAGGCAGCAGUGGGGAAUAUUGGACAAUGGGCGCAAGCCUGAUCCACCCAUACCGCGUGGGUGAAGAAGGCCUUCGGGUUGUAAAGCCCUUUUGUUGGGAAAGAAAUCCAGCUGGCUAAUACCCGGUUGGGAUGACGGUACCCAAAGAAUAAGCACCGGCUAACUUCGUGCCAGCAGCCGCGGUAAUACGAAGGGUGCAAGCGUUACUCGGAAUUACUGGGCGUAAAGCGUGCGUAGGUGGUCGUUUAAGUCCGUUGUGAAAGCCCUGGGCUCAACCUGGGAACUGCAUUGGAUACUGGGCGACUAGAGUGUGGUAAGGGUAGCGGAAUUCCUGGUGUAGCAGUGAAAUGCGUACAGAUCAAGAGGAACAUCCAUGGCGAACGCAGCUACCUGGACCAACACUGACACUGAGGCACGAAAGCGUGGGGAGCAGACAGGAUUAGAUACCCUGGUAUCCACGCCCUAAACGAUGCAAACUGGAUGUUGGGUGCAAUUUGGCACGCACUAUCGAAGCUAACGCGUUAAGUUCGCCGCCUGGGGGAGUACGGUCGCAAGACUGAAACUCAAGGAAUUGACCGGGGCCCGCACAAGCGGUGGAGUAUGUGGUUUAAUUCGAUGCAACGCGAAAACCUUACCUGGCCUUGACAUGUCAGAACUUUCCAGAGAUGGAUUGUGCCGUCGGGAACU